AUUGAACGCUGGCGGCAUGCUUUACACAUGCAAGUCGAACGGCAGCGGGGGCUUCGGCCUGCCGGCGAGUGGCGAACGGGUGAGUAAUGCAUCGGAACGUGCCCAUGUCGUGGGGGAUAACGUAUCGAAAGGUACGCUAAUACCGCAUACGUCCUGAGGGAGAAAGCGGGGGAUCGCAAGACCUCGCGCGAUUGGAGCGGCCGAUGUCGGAUUAGCUAGUAGGUGAGGUAAAGGCUCACCUAGGCGACGAUCCGUAGCGGGUCUGAGAGGAUGAUCCGCCACACUGGGACUGAGACACGGCCCCAGACUCCUACGGGAGGCAGCAGUGGGGAAUUUUGGGACAAUGGGGGCAACCCUGAUCCAGCCAUGCCGCGUGAGUGAAGAAGGCCUCGGUUGU
This 397-nucleotide ribosomal RNA is filed under the name uncultured bacterium. RNAcentral's name for it is "bacterial SSU rRNA". It matches the Rfam family "Bacterial small subunit ribosomal RNA", at positions 28 to 426 of the family's 1533-position model. The record is from RNAcentral.